This 301-nucleotide ribosomal RNA is filed under the name uncultured bacterium. Its description in RNAcentral is "partial 16S ribosomal RNA". It matches the Rfam family "Bacterial small subunit ribosomal RNA", at positions 509 to 807 of the family's 1533-position model. The record is from RNAcentral.
CAGUCGCCGCGGUAAUACAGAGGGUGCGAGCGUUAAUCGGAUUUACUGGGCGUAAAGCGUGCGUAGGCGGCUUCUUAAGUUGGAUGUGAAAUCCCUGAGCUUAACUUAGGAAUUGCAUUCGAUACUGGGAAGCUAGAGUAUGGGAGAGGAUGGUAGAAUUCCAGGUGUAGCGGUGAAAUGCGUAGAGAUCUGGAGGAAUACCGAUGGCGAAGGCAGCCAUCUGGCCUAAUACUGACGCUGAGGUACGAAAGCAUGGGGAGCAAACAGGAUUAGAUACCCCCGUAGUCCCUGUCUCUUAUAC